GGAGUCUAUUCAAGUGUGUGGUAUUUAACGACCAGAGCAGUGGCCAGAACCACAAUCAGCGUCUGGACUGAACGACCACCUCAAGCUAGUGAAGAGACAAGCGUAGUGUCCAACGAGCUUGACGUGGAGUACACUGAGGUGGUGCAUCCACGAUCCGCAGAUCCACCAAGAGCUCCACUGAAGAAAGGCACAGAAACGGUGUACAGUGAGCUACAGAACUCUCUACAUGGUGAGUUUGUUAUUUAAGUUUUACUCAGAUUUUAUGUCUGUGUAAGCUCUCAGUUGUAAAAAAGUUUUCCAUUUC
RNAcentral lists this long non-coding RNA (304 nucleotides) under Neogobius melanostomus (round goby). RNAcentral's name for it is "lncRNA (ENSNMLG00000004987.1)". Lineage: Eukaryota; Metazoa; Chordata; Actinopteri; Gobiiformes; Gobiidae. The record is from RNAcentral.